ACCCCUGUGACAUACCUAUACGUUGCCUCGGCGGAUCAGCCCGCGCCCCGUAAAACGGGACGGCCCGCCCGAGGACCCCUAAACUCUGUUUUUAGUGGAACUUCUGAGUAAAACAAACAAAUAAAUCAAAACUUUCAACAACGGAUCUCUUGGUUCUGGCAUCGAUGAAGAACGCAGCAAAAUGCGAUAAGUAAUGUGAAUUGCAGAAUUCAGUGAAUCAUCGAAUCUUUGAACGCACAUUGCGCCCGCCAGUAUUCUGGCGGGCAUGCCUGUUCGAGCGUCAUUUCAACCCUCAAGCUCAGCUUGGUGUUGGGACUCGCGGUAACCCGCGUUCCCCAAAUCGAUUGGCGGUCACGUCGAGCUUCCAUAGCGUAGUAAUCAUACACCUCGUUACUGGUAAUCGUCGCGGCCACGCCGUAAAACCCCAACUUCUGAAUGUUGACCUCGGAUCAGGUAGGAAUACCCGCUGAACUUAAGCAUA
RNAcentral lists this ribosomal RNA (481 nucleotides) under Fusarium oxysporum f. sp. lycopersici. RNAcentral describes it as "eukaryotic LSU rRNA". The stretch from base 130 to 283 matches the Rfam family "5.8S ribosomal RNA". The record is from RNAcentral. RNAcentral also lists the same sequence under 1 other name. Lineage: Eukaryota; Fungi; Ascomycota; Sordariomycetes; Hypocreales; Nectriaceae.